UACGUAGGUGGCAAGCGUUGUCCGGAAUUAUUGGGCGUAAAGCGCGCGCAGGCGGCCUCCUAAGUCCGAUGUGAAAGCCCACGGCUCAACCGUGGAGGGUCAUUGGAAACUGGGGAACUUGAGUGCAGAAGAGGAAAGUGGAAUUCCAAGUGUAGCGGUGAAAUGCGUAGAGAUUUGGAGGAACACCAGUGGCGAAGGCGACUUUCUGGUCUGUAACUGACACUGAGGCGCGAAAGCGUGGGGAGCAAACAGG
This 253-nucleotide ribosomal RNA is filed under the name uncultured bacterium. Its description in RNAcentral is "partial 16S ribosomal RNA". It matches the Rfam family "Bacterial small subunit ribosomal RNA", at positions 524 to 776 of the family's 1533-position model. The record is from RNAcentral.